Long non-coding RNA from Scylla paramamosain (green mud crab), 355 nucleotides. RefSeq lists it as uncharacterized. The transcript is spliced from 2 exons. The record is from RefSeq and is a predicted model, not a curated record. Lineage: Eukaryota; Metazoa; Arthropoda; Malacostraca; Decapoda; Portunidae.
GCAGUAACUUAGUUGUGAGACAGCGUGGCUCACUGGACACUGCCCUGUGUCGACCCAAGGACGGGCUAUUGGAGAAUAUGGUUUAUUCUCUCGUUCAAAUCUUGCUGUUGGCCGUGUGUUAAAGGAUGCACGGAAAUGAGUUAGCAGCCAAGUGGUCGAGUAGGGCCGAGUGGUGUCAACGUGAGGGCAGUGUAGCUGAUCGUGUGGAAAGUGGGGUGCCAACUCCACUGGUUCUAAUUACAAGUCUGACUGUAGUGCCGGACUGGAGCAACAAAUAUGCCCAUUGGAUCAAGAAUGUGUAGUGCACUGAUGUGGGUAAUGUAAACUGGAAAUAUAAAUAAGGAUUGAGACAAAA